AUUGAACGCUGGCGGUAUGCUUAACACAUGCAAGUCGAACGGUAACAGGCCUUCGGGCGCUGACGAGUGGCGGACGGGUGAGUAACGCGUAGGAAUCUGCCUUAUAGUGGGGGACAACGUGGGGAAACUCACGCUAAUACCGCAUACGCCCUACGGGGGAAAGCGGGGGAUCGUAAGACCUCGCGCUAUGAGAUGAGCCUGCGUUAGAUUAGCUAGUUGGUAGGGUAAAGGCCUACCAAGGCGACGAUCUAUAGCUGGUCUGAGAGGACGAUCAGCCACACUGGGACUGAGACACGGCCCAGACUCCUACGGGAGGCAGCAGUGGGGAAUAUUGGACAAUGGGCGCAAGCCUGAUCCAGCAAUACCGCGUGUGUGAAGAAGGCCUUAGGGUUGUAAAGCACUUUCAAUGGGGAGGAAAACCUGCCGGUCAAUACCCGGUAGCUUGACAUUACCUAUAGAAGAAGCACCGGCUAACUCCGUGCCAGCAGCCGCGGUAAUACGGAGGGUGCGAGCGUUAAUCGGAAUUACUGGGCGUAAAGCGUGCGUAGGCGGCUCGUUAAGUCAGAUGUGAAAGCCCUGGGCUCAACCUGGGAACUGCAUUUGAAACUGGCGAGCUAGAGUUGAGUAGAGGGGAGUGGAAUUUCAGGUGUAGCGGUGAAAUGCGUAGAUAUCUGAAGGAACACCAGUGGCGAAGGCGACUCCCUGGACUCAAACUGACGCUGAGGUACGAAAGCGUGGGUAGCAAACAGGAUUAGAUACCCUGGUAGUCCACGCUGUAAACGAUGUCAACUAGCCGUUGGUCCUAUUUACAGGAUUAGUGGCGCAGCUAACGCAUUAAGUUGACCGCCUGGGGAGUACGGCCGCAAGGUUA
Molecule: ribosomal RNA, 871 nt
Filed under: uncultured bacterium
Lineage: Bacteria
Description: bacterial SSU rRNA
Rfam family: Bacterial small subunit ribosomal RNA
Source: RNAcentral